RNAcentral lists this small RNA (184 nucleotides) under Arabidopsis thaliana (thale cress). Its description in RNAcentral is "ATSL152770". The record is from RNAcentral. Lineage: Eukaryota; Viridiplantae; Streptophyta; Magnoliopsida; Brassicales; Brassicaceae.
AUUUUUUUUUAAUACCAGGAGGUUCUAAGCCAAAAUCCGUAAUUCUCCUAGGUGCGAAACCGCAACAUGUAAUAUUAGUUUCGUCUCAAGCGUCACUCGAACCGACGACCUCUAAGCUUCGCAUGGGAUCUUUACUAAUUGAGCUAACGACACUAAUAUUACGUAAAGUGAAUGAAACCUAAAA